RNAcentral lists this ribosomal RNA (582 nucleotides) under uncultured archaeon. Its description in RNAcentral is "bacterial SSU rRNA". It matches the Rfam family "Archaeal small subunit ribosomal RNA", at positions 110 to 695 of the family's 1478-position model. The record is from RNAcentral.
UACCCUUGAGUGGGAGAUAAUCUCGGGAAACUGAGGCUAAUACCCCAUAGGUGCUUGGUGCUGGAAUGCUCUUGCACUCAAAGCUCCGGCGCUCAAGGAUGGGUCUGUGGCCUAUCAGGCUGUUGUUGGUGUAAUGAACCAACAAACCGAUAACGGGUACGGGCUAUGUGAGUAGGAGCCCGGAGAUGGAUUCUGAGACAUGAAUCCAGGCACUACGGUGUGCAGCAAGCGCGAAACCUUUACAAUGCAUUCACGUGCGAUAAGGGGACCCGGAGUGUUCCAGCAAUGCUGGAAUUUUUGUUCACUUUAAAUAGGUGGGCGAAUAAGGGCUGGGUAAUACGGGUGCCAGCCUCCGCGGUAAUACCCGAGGCCCAAGUGAUAGCCAGUAUUAUUGGGUUUAAAGCGUCCGUAGCCGGCUCAGUAAGUUCCUGGUGAAAUCCUCCGGCAAACCGGAGGGCGUGCUGGGAAUACUACUGAACUUGAGACCGGGAGAGGGUAGGGGUACUCAUAGGGUAGGGGUUAAAUCCUGUAAUCCUAUGGGGACCACCUGUGGCGAAGGCGCCUACCUGGAACGGCUCUGAC